CGCACAUGCUAAAUUACAGCUGCAAGCAAAAUUCUUUAAUUUGAAGCCAAUAAGUAUAAACAUUUGAAAUUGCAAUUAACAUAAUAACGCGACAUCUUAUAGUUUUACAUAAUAACAGUUUAAUAAUUAAAAAACCAGAGCCUUGUGCGGGCAAAUGUCUAGCAUAAGAUAAGCUGAAUAACUUAUCUCUUCAUUUUCUCAGACAAGAAGCUAGUUCAAUACACUCGCACAUUAAUUAAUUGGUCAUUAUUUCUGUUUGCCUUAUAACCAAUUAGUCAUCGGUGCCAAAGUACCGAUCGCCAAACUCGCCCAUACCUGGUAUGACUCGAAACUCUUCAUUUAAUGCAGCAUCAAUCUCUGAGGUGACAAUUUUCAAGGAUGGGAACCUUUUGCAAACGCAAUGGAUACCCUCAGGAGCAGAGAUUAGGUUUAGGAAUAUAAUGUGUGAUUCUGGAACUCCUUUCUGUAUGAGUAGUUCUAUUGCUUGGUUGGCAGAGUUACCUACAAGGACAUCAAUCAUGGCAUUGCUCAUCAACAACCAUUCCUAAUAGUAAACAGGUAAAGAAAGCCCAAAAUUUGUCUGAACGUUGACUACUGCUGUAGAGGAAUGCAAGCAAUGAAUUGCAGUAAUAACACUCCCAAUCUAUAACAGUACGUUUUAUCAAUCAUUUCACUAGGAAGCAUUCCAUUUUCGGCUGGCAUUUCCAGGAUCCCAUAGAACAGCAAUCCAAAAAUAAAUAUUGAGCUUGUUACAAUACAAUGUAUGGAUGGAAAAGCAUCUAUCCACAUUUAAAAGAAAAAAAAAUAAUAAAAAUUGAUUCAAUGAAUACUUAGCAACAGCCAUUGAACAAGUUAAGAGCUCUAUAGAUUCUUUGAACAGUAGUAGGGACAGAAAGAAAUGGAAAUUUGCAGCAAGAGAUCACCACCAAGUGGAGCAACUAAUAAAAUGAUAAGUCAUAAACAAAGUAAGAAGCAAUAAUGUACUUGAUUCGAAAGGAAGCAAUAAUGUACUUGAUUAGAAAGGAAGCAAUAAUGUACUUGAUUAGAAAGAAAGCAAUAAAUUAUCAUCUAUAAAUGAUUGAAAAGUGGAACUUAUACUCCAGGGAACCUGAAUAAAGCAGCAUUUUCAACUAUUAAUAGUCUAGAAGGUGAUGGCCAAAUCAUGGAACUUUGGAACAAAAAUCCCCCACCUAUUAAGUAAAAGCACUUUCAAAAAACCGAAGAGCAACUGCAAUUGAUGACAACUACCAUUUCCUUCCAUUGUGUAAGUCCCUAUUUUCAGUAGUUCACUCUUCCUAUAAAAAGAGCAACUAACUGCCCCAAAUUAAUCAUUCAUCUCAAAAUUGAGGCACAGAAGGUAAAACAUAAAAACUUCAAGUAAAUAGAAAAGCGAUUACCUGUAGCAAGAACAGGAUCUAGAAGUAGGACAUGUCUUUCUGGAAUAUCCUUGGGAAGCUUCUCAUAUAUAAGCUGUUUCCCAUUGUCUCCAUCACGAUGAAUAAGAAUUUUUCCAAUUUUUAUUCCUUUGCAACAUGCACGCAAUGCAUUUUCCAUGCUUUCUCCACUGAAAAUGACAGACAAGUAAACCGCAUUAGAACUAAGAGAUACAAUAUCAAGGCUCAGAAUGACCCUAGCAGCUAGAAUCAGGAAUCACGCGCUGGCAAAGAGGAUCUGAAACUUAUUGUAGUUUCAGUGUAAAAUGAACUGGCAGUGAAUUGCAUUCCAAAUAAGAUGUUAUUGCCAGUGCCAGAUGACUGGACUGCAGAAAUCAAUACCCGAUUUAAAGCUCACCUACGAACAAUGGAAAUCCCACAUAGUUUCUUGCAAAAGUCAACCCCAGUGUACACCGAUCCUGUUGGCGUAAUUACUUGCUUCUCUGUGAAUGGCAAAUGUCCAAGACCAUGCUCCACAACCUGAACAUGAGAAUCAAAACAGUGACCUCCAAACAACACACGUAUUCAAUAUUGAUUCAUCAACACAUUUCUGCCAAGCUACAUAGAAGAGUACCAAACGGAUAAGCCGAUCUGAAUAAAAUACAAAAUCAUGCUUUGAUAUAUCCUUGUCUCGAAUCAAUGUAUGCAUACCUCUUAUCUGCAACACAAAUUACACCCAAAAGCAAAUCCAAACUAAGACUAUUCACAGAGAAAAGAGAUAAUACUCUAUACACACAGUCACACAUGUGCAAGCACACACAUAAUAGUAGAGGCUUACGAAGAACUUCAAGCAACACAAGCCUUAAUCAUUGAUACACCCAUGUUCACAUGGAUUUUUAUUGUUAAAACACAACAGUAUUUUUCCUCCUUUCUUCUUUUUCUGCUUAAUCAAAUAUGCAUACAGAUAAAGAAGAGGACCAAGUAGAAGCCUAACUCACACUCAACAUAUCAAAAGAGUGCCAAAUUUUGUCUACUAACCAUAUAGAUGUCCAAUUCCCAGAAAAAUAUGCCACAAUCCAAUACAAACUCAUAGAGCGCUGCAAUUUGCAUUCUAUACAAAACAACAGUCUUUUCUAUUUGGCUGCUCUAGUGGUUUGUGAAAUAUCAAACACGUGGCACUAAUAGAGUACACAUUAUUUGCCCACUUUAGAAGCAAAAAGAUUGCAAGAAUUCAAAUUCUUCGCAUAAUAAAAUUAAGUUGUAAGGAUUAAGCCAAAAAAAGAAACAAGACACAGAAAACCAAGCAGAAGGCAUACCUGAAAUGUUGACUGAAUAACAUAAACAUUUGGAUAUAUUUUGCAAAGAUCAUGUUGACCAAGUUUUGUGCGGAUAUGUUGUACUAUCAAAUCAAUGGCAACAUGAUUAUCACCUCCCCGGGGUAUGAUCACAUCUGCGUACUUCUUUGAUGGCAACACAAAAUCAUCAAAAGCCGGCUUCACAAAUUUUGCAUACUGCUCAAGAACAGAGUUUAUGUCCCUACCCCUCUCAACUGUGUCACGCCUUAUUCUCCGAGCAAGCCUUACAUCCGCAUCCACAUAGAAGGCUGAUAAUUCCAAACACUAUGGACUGGACGCUCUUUCACUCUUCUAAAUAGACAAAUAUGUCAUUAUUAUUACAAUAUUUAGUCAAUAAAAAGAAGAUUAGGGUUUGCAAAUGGCAAAAAAGUCAUAACAUCUUUGAAAGAGAAGAAAAGGAAUAUUUACGGACAAAAUUGUAAUUGUGAUUUGAUGGUGAACUAAGGGACACAUGUACAAGUAUGCCAAAUAGGUAACCAAUAGAGAAGACUCAGAUGUACUGCACCUUAAGUCUUAAGCCUGUGCUGAUUGGAACACACCAAACUUUGAAAUCGGCAAUUAACUUACCAAUUAGCAAUCCAAACUUACUAAGCAGUGAGUGAGUUUUCUGACACACACAUGCACACAUUGCAUGAAAGCUAUGAAAUGCGGAUAUUGGUGAUGAUGGAGAUCACUGCAGCAGUGCUGAUGAACAACCAGGAAGAAAAGGUUCAAACCUGCCUAAAGCUAUCUGCACGGCGGAGAUGAGUUUUAAAAUCAUAAAUUGGAAUUUGAUAAGGUUGUCCACUUCUGAGCUUUUGAAUGCAGUCUAAAAGUUGUUCAGUGUCAAAUGCAUCAGGAUGGUCAAAAUUAUACUCAUGGACACGUUCUAAUUCUGCAGUUGUCAAACCACGGUAAAAUGAAUCCUGAUUGACAAGCACAACCCUGUGAUCGUGAAGCUGUUGAAUGAUCAUGUCACAUACUGUAGUCUUACCCGAAGCUGCACCUCCUGAUACUCCUAUUCAAUUACAUCAAAACCCCAACCCCAACAUUCAAAUAUAAUGAAAGGAAAAGCUGCAAAUAUAUAAUAAGGAAUUGUUCAAUUAGCAACUAGAGGGCAAAUAUACUAUAGAAUUCUAGCAUUUCAUCAAAUAUAAAUAACAAGGCAAGUUUAAUGAAGUUGAAGUUUGAUUAUGAAAGCAAUAAAAUCAGUUUGCAUUUCCAAAAGAAAGCGAAAACAAAAGCAAGAGACGAGAAGAAGGUAGAAUGAAAUUAAAUCACCAAUGACAAAGGGCUGUUUGGGAGUAAGCGGAGAAGCUGAAGCUGAAACGGCACAUGUGCGGUGAGUUGGCGAAGUCGAGGAGGAGGAAGACAGAGAUGAAAGGAGGCCGUUGAGCCGUAGGCCGGAGAAGUGGGGGCCCGACGCCUUUUCCAUUAUGUAAUCUAUGGAACUGGCCUGCUCCGACAUCAGCUCUGGCUUCGUUCUUAUUGUGAAUUUGAAACUGAAAAGAAAUCCAAUGAAACGGAGACUUUUAAUUUGAUU
RNAcentral lists this unclassified non-coding RNA (4250 nucleotides) under Hevea brasiliensis (rubber tree). The record is from RNAcentral. Lineage: Eukaryota; Viridiplantae; Streptophyta; Magnoliopsida; Malpighiales; Euphorbiaceae.